This is a long non-coding RNA of Triticum dicoccoides, 3132 nucleotides long. RefSeq lists it as uncharacterized. The record is from RefSeq and is a predicted model, not a curated record. The transcript is spliced from 3 exons. NCBI's taxonomy places the organism in Eukaryota, Viridiplantae, Streptophyta, Magnoliopsida, Poales, Poaceae.
UCCCCUCUUUCCACUCCCCACGCUUCCCUGUGCAGCCGCCGCCUUCCCCCCGCUCUCCCCAUCUCAUCAGAGCCACCCGGCCGGACUCCUUCUUGGCCCCAAGAAGCCCCCGUUCUGCCCCGCGUCGGAGUUCAGCGGUAGGGGAGCAGCGGAUCGAUGACGACGAGGAUGAGAGAUCGAUGGAGCGAGCAGCCAUUGCAGAGGAUAGAUCGAGGAGGGAGCGAGCCAGGAGGUGCCGCCGGUCGGUCGCCGCCUCACCACUGGCUACCCUUCUCUUUCCCUCUACAUCGCCUUCUUCCUCCAUGCUCUCCAAAUCCUGCCUGAGGUCGUCGCGCUUCACCUGGUUCUAGAUCGGCAGCAGCUAGACGAGGUCGUUCGUGGGGUGAAAGAGCAGGGAGGCAGGCAAGCGACGAGGGCAAGAAGAAGCCAGCCCGUCGCGCUUGGCUCGAGCUGCAGGGAAGAGGGAGGAGUCCCGAGAGAGGGUGAAGGAGCGGGCUGGACCUUGUGAGGCGGUGCCGCCGGCCAGGGGACGUUGUUAGUGCGCUCGGCGCCGUCCUUCUCACCCCGAGUUUGCCUCCCUCUCCCCUUCCGGCGCAGAUCACCGGGGCUGCUCUCAUUUGUUUGAUUUGGUAUUGUUCCUUCCAUUCUGCUACUCAUUGUUAUCAUACCAAGGUGAGGUGUUCUUCAGUUACGAUGCUCCUGGCCUGUUUGAUGAAACUUUUAUGAGCUGGUAUGCUGUUUGUUCUCUCUUUUCCUUCUUGUUGCAGGCGGGUUUACCUUCUCUGUUGGUUCUUGGGUCCUCCAUGUCGUGAGCCAUCAAGGUUGGACAGCCUCUCUUCUGAGCUUUUGUCUACUCAAAGUGAUGUGAGCUGAUUCGUUGGUUUGCGCAACCUCGCUGUGUGGUCAGCCCGGUUCGCAGCUAGGCCAUGCUUCCCUCCGGAUUCUGGCAUGGUGUUCGGGUGCCUUUCUUGGUUCAGUUCCGAGUCAGAAGCAAUGCCAUCAUUUUUACCUAAAUCUUGCAUAUACGUUUGAUUGCAGCGGCUGAUUCCUGUGUCAUGCCUGGACUUGCUAGAUCGGUUAGAGUUUGUUUAUUAUGCCUUCGGCAUCCCCUGGAUUUUUACUUGGGUGUCAUGUGGUGGUUAUUUGAUAUGUGGUCUAGGAAGAGCCCACUUAUUCUACAUUGGGCGUCUUUUGCUGCAUUUCUACUUGUAUGUGCUUUCAUGUGUUUUGGGAUGACCCAAUGCAUUUUAGUUCAUCUAUAUGUACAUCUUCCUGAAGUCUUUCUGUUCCCUCUGUUUUUUCUUAGGUUGUAUAUAGAUGAGCACAUAGGACCAUGACUGGAUGGUUUCAUGUAACCAUACAUCCCUAUAACACGGUUCAAUGAAUGGUCUGUUGCUACUUUUCCCCAAGUUAUGAUUUUGGGAGUGAUUUAGGAUUGGCUGGCACUUCUUCGGACUUCAGUUAUGAGGAAAUGGGUCGACACAAUUUACAAGAUGGUGCUCAGCGAGCUGGGCUCUGGUUCCACCAAUAUGAAUGUCUAGCCUCAAACUUGCCUUACUUUUUUGGAAUUACUCUUUUUAUCUGUUGGAUCAUUCUUUUGUUAGUAAGAAAUGUCUGCAUUUUAGUGUAACCUAAACCUGCUCAUUCUAGUCAUUGGUUGAUAUCAGUAGUGGAAUGUUGUCUUUUCUUCUCAUUAUUAUUUCAGGUCGUUAGAUUCACGCAUUACAGAUUACUGUAUUUAGUUGUGUCAUGAUUAUUGCAUGCAUUCUAUUUACUGAAAAGUGAAAACACCCACCACUACAAUAUCUUCAUAAGAAUCUUUUUUCUACAGUUAGCACAAAAAGAUGCUUUUGGCCUACUACAUGAACUCGUUCUUGCCGACUUCAUCCUCUGUUUAUUUUCUCAUGUUUGAUAAAAUAUCUGUGAGCUCAACCAUUCUGUGAUUCAUGUUUCCUUGCCGUGUAGGUUCUUUGUUGGUUCGUGGGAUGUCUGUGUCGUUAACCAACAAGGUUGGAUCUGUUCUGAUUCGCUUGGUUGAUUAGUGCUUGAUGAGCAGCCUAUGAACCCGUGCGUUUGUGCGACCAGCUUCCCUGUCUAUUUGUUUUUUUGGUUCAUCUACCAUACUUGUUGUACUAUGUAUGGGAUUUUUCUUCAGAUCUCGUCAGGAAAACAACUUUCUUUAUGAUUGUCCUGCUGGUUUAGUCCUAUGCAUACACCGUCUUCUUCCUGGUUGAUUAGGUGCUUGUAGGCCAUUGGUUUGUGCCCGUGCUUGUAUAGUAUGGCCUGUUUUCUUAGCUUUUGCUAAUUCCCAGUAAACUACAAGACUCUCUCGAGUUAGUGCAUUAAAAGAAAUAUAUGCAGCAAGUGAUAGUUAAAUAAAUAUGUAGGUUAAAAAAUACAGUCAGACCUAUACACCACUUGCUUAUUGUUUUUAAACAUGCUUGCUUUUUCUUUUAUCUUUCAUAAAUCUCUGAUUCCUUUUCAGUUUUCUGAUUUCCUUUUGUUCUACAUUUCAGUUCAUCUAUAUGUACUUCUUCCUAAAGUCUUUAUGUUUGUGCUGCAAAUCUUGUCGCUCUUGCACUGUCUUGUUGGCUCAAGCUUCUCAGUGCAAAGGUUUGUGAUUCCUCUUCCGGUUCUAUUUUCUUUUGCUCCUGUGAUGUAUAAUGAUUGACUGCGCUUAAGUUUGUCCGUUUCAUUUAUGUGUUUGGGGUGUCUAUGUACAGUUUAUCUGUUCUAUCUGGUGCAUCGUGUGCUAAACUUCUAGCUGGAUGUGCUUUGAUUGGUUAGCAUGUGUGGUCUAGCCUGAGCCAAUGCAUUUGAAGUCUGUCAAUUUCUGAAUUUUUUCUGUUCCUUGCUUGCAUGUGCUAGGAUUGGUUAUAUGCAAGGAAGAAUGGAAUUAAGAGGGAGAUGAAGAGUGAGAGGCAAAACGCCAGGGAAAAAGAUAGCUAGACAGCAAAUGAUGUAGCAUAUAGGUUGCUAAAAUAGAUUGCUACUCUCCUGUUUAAUUAAAUGUCCAUGGGUUGAUUUCAGUUCUGUGCUUGGGGUCAGCAUAUUCAUUAAGGCUGAUCUAUUCUAACUCGGCCAUUUUUUGCCUACACUGAGCAAAUGCAUAAGAGUUGUUCUAUUUCUGAA